UUUGAGACAGAGUCUCGCUCUUUCGCCAGGUGGAGCACAGUGGCACGAUCUCGGCUCACUCCAACCUCCGUCUCCUGGGUUCAAGCGAUUCUCCUGGCUUAGCCUCCGUAGCAGCUGAUUCUACAGGCAUGUGCCACCACACCCAGAUGCUGGUUGUAGUAGCAAUGUGCUGGGUAUGUGAGGAGGUUCACUGCCUCCUAUGGGCUGGAAUGGAAGACGUUUCAUGAAGCAUAUCUUGUUCCCCAGUGGAAUGCUGAUGUUCCAUGUAGAGAGGGAUUAUGACUCCACCUCUCAUAGAAGCCUGAACCUGGAGGGCACUCCUUCUGUGAAGACACAGUCACCCUGAAGCUUUUCAGAAAGGCUGUCUAUGAACACACCCGUAUGGAGGUCUCAUGAGAGAAGCCCCAGCUGUGUCUGUAGUGGUGGGCAAAAGGGAGAAGAAGCCCCCUUAUCCAAGACCCUUCAUGAGCACCAGGGCUGCCUGACUGUUGUAGAGCUGCAGACUUUCCCCACUGAGCUCAGCACUGCACCUGUGCCUCUGCUGAAAGAAACUUCCCACAGGCAGGAAGUUCAGGGACCCAAGGCCUGCAGUCUGGUUACUUUUGUCCCAGGGAGUGCUCCCUUAUUGUCCUUCACUCCCUCUACCCCUGGAAGUAGCAGUCCCUGAGGGCCAUACCACUGUGAACCCUGCUGUCCCUGGGUCUAGCCACCCAGUUGGGCCGCCACCCUCCAGGCUGGUGCUGGAAAUGUCUCCCAGGGAUCCAGUGAUGAGAACUGUUCUCUAGUCUCCCAGCAGUGGGGACCAGCACCAGUUCUAAUGGAGUGGGAGGGGUGUGGCAUCGACUUUGUGAGACUUUCUUGGUUAUAAAUAGACUUAGUGUGUUAGCUUUCUCAAAUGCCAGCUGUAGUCCUAAUGUACUGGGCACUUAGACAGACUCCAGAUCUCCCAGUUAGCCAGGGUAAUGCAGAUGACGGCGAUAGCUGAGGUUGUGCAAAAGAUUUCUCCUUUCUGAGCACUGUGUUAUUUUUUCGCCUGGUUCACACUGUAGGCUGCUGCCCAUUGCUUCUGUCAAAGGGUGGGUGGUUUCUUUCAGGUUUUCUGUUAAGUUCUUGUGUUGGUUCUGAAAGUUCUAGUAUUUUUCCUGUAGCUUUAGACAUCCAACCUGAUAUUACCAAGAUGACUGGGAGUUUGUGGCUAAUGCCUACAGAAGAAGAGAUGCAUCCCUUCCCAGACAUCUUAUCUGUUGCCCUGGGUAAUGAAGACAUUCAAUUUUUAAUUUUUUAAAAUUAUUAUUAUUUUUUGAGAUGGAGUCUUGCUCUGUCGCCUAUACUAGAGUACAGUGCCGCAGUUUUGGCUCACUCUAACCUCCGUCCCC
Molecule: long non-coding RNA, 1376 nt
Filed under: Homo sapiens (human)
Lineage: Eukaryota; Metazoa; Chordata; Mammalia; Primates; Hominidae
Description: HSALNT0270036
Source: RNAcentral